GAUGAACGCUGGCGGCGUGCCUAAUACAUGCAAGUCGAGCGAACAGACGAGGAGCUUGCUCCUCUGACGUUAGCGGCGGACGGGUGAGUAACACGUGGAUAACCUACCUAUCAGACUGGGAUAACUUCGGGAAACCGGAGCUAAUACCGGAUAAUAUAUUGAACCGCAUGGUUCAAUAGUGAAAGACGGUUUUGCUGUCACUUCUCGAUGGAUCCGCGCCGCAUUAGCUAGUUGGUAAGGUAACGGCUUACCAAGGCAACGAUGCGUAGCCGACCUGAGAGGGUGAUCGGCCACACUGGAACUGAGACACGGUCCAGACUCCUACGGGAGGCAGCAGUAGGGAAUCUUCCGCAAUGGGCGAAAGCAUGACGGAGCAACGCCGCGUGAGUGAUGAAGGUCUUCGGAUCGUAAAACUCUGUUAUUAGGGAAGAACAAAUGUGGAAGUAACUAAGCACGUCUUGACGGUACCUAAUCAGAAAGCCACGGCUAACUACGUG
RNAcentral lists this ribosomal RNA (497 nucleotides) under uncultured bacterium. RNAcentral's name for it is "partial 16S ribosomal RNA". It matches the Rfam family "Bacterial small subunit ribosomal RNA", at positions 28 to 507 of the family's 1533-position model. The record is from RNAcentral.